GCUUGCCUGGGGGCAGGAUGGCUCUCCGAGCCCAGCUUGGCUGCCGGCCUCCUUCUCUGAGUAAGUGCUUUUCUCUCCCUUCACCUGGGACCCUCAAGAGGGUGGAGGAGAAGAGAGUCUGAGAGCAAAAGGAAAGCCUGACUGCCUUUGAUGCCCUUGGGGAAGAAGGGGAGGAAAGACGGUGGGUGAGGGGCUUCCUGCUGCAGCCUUCAGUGGGACACUUAGGGCUGGGGGUCACUGGAGAAGGAGGUGGCUUCCUGCCCCAUUGUUCAGGACUUCAUUGUUUCUCAGGAAUACUUAUUGUAUGUGAAUUUUCAAUAAUUAACUUGGAAAGCUGCACGUGUUCCCGUCAUUCAGCAAACACUGAGCACCUACUGGGUACAGAGGUGGCAGCAGAGCCCCUCAUCACGGAAAGGGGCCAGAAAACCCACUGGGCCAGGGUCUCCAAGUUAGCUUUUGACAUUAUCUCCGAAUGGGGUUAUACAUUAUGUCAGAUCCACUAACUAAUUUGAUGAAAGACCCUCAUUCUUUGUCCUUAAGCUUGUUUCUUAUUAACAAAGACUGCUAUGCCUGUGGAGCACUAUGCAUUAUUGUAUUUUAAUAAAUCCUGUAAUCAUCUUGUGAGCAGCCCAAUUAUGGUGUAAUUUUUUGAAUUAGAAGCAUUAAGGUAUUAAACAUGGAAAAACAUGCCUCAGUAUUUAUUUGUGAACUUGUUUUGUCGUUUCUUCAUUUUCAAAUAUACCAGGAGCCUGAAAAAAAAUCGAAGCGUCCUGGGCUCCCCUUGACCCCCGCGCGGAGCAGAGAUGAAGCGUCAUUCCAGCACGAGUUGGGGACACGGGGGACACACCGACAGCAGUCGUUGCAGGCCAAGUGCUGUAGUAUGUGUGUGCGGGGAGAUAGGACACGGACCCUCACAAUGACCUCGGGGCUGCUGUGACGAUUAAAUGAUGCACCUGGUUGGCUCAGUCGGCAAGGCAUGUGACUCUUGAUCUCGGGGUUGUGAGUUCAAGCCCCAUGUUUAGUGUAGAGAUUACUUAAAAAUAAAAUAUUUGAAAACCAAACCA
RNAcentral lists this long non-coding RNA (1064 nucleotides) under Ursus maritimus (polar bear). RNAcentral's name for it is "lncRNA (ENSUMAG00000013287.1)". Lineage: Eukaryota; Metazoa; Chordata; Mammalia; Carnivora; Ursidae. The record is from RNAcentral.